GACUGCCAGCCCCACCAGGCUGGUGGCCACUAAGCACCACUAGGCAUAGAAGGGCCAUCCGUUCCCCGUGGUGAAAGCCCUCCUUUCCCAGCAAGGGCAGCUCAGAGCCCUCAACUUCCUUCUGCUUGUUGUGGUCUCUGUGUGUGUCUCCAUUGCUCCGGUGGGAAUGGAUGGGGCUCUGCAUAGGCUCUCUCCUGCCCUGAAGGAUCUCACAGGUCCCCUUGGUCUUUGACAGCAGUGAAGCUCUCGCCAUCCUUCAUGCCCUUCCGCCUUUCCCGUCUUGCUUCUUCCCGUUAACUCGUGGCUCCAUAAGUUCGUAAGUCACAAAGGCUUUCCCAAGAAUUCCUGGAUCCCCCAGACUGGAGUUGUACCCUCGGGACUUCCCCAGUGCCUUGGGUGAAAGUUCCAGACUUUCCCCUUAGCUCAAACUUCUCCCCUCUUUCCACUCUCACACCCAGAAACUCCUAUUUUAACCUCAGUCUUCUAUGCCAUUUCCAGUUUUUCCCUCCUCUCAACUCCCUGGCCCUGCCCUCUUCCUCCAUUUACCUCCCUCCAUCCCUAAUGUGUUUACCUCCAUCCUGCUAUCCUCUAAGUUCUAAAACUUAGAGCCCUCGGUGAAAACAAGCAAGGAAUGACACAUUCUUCAAGACUUCUGUUGGCCUUCCUGGUUUAUCCUUCACCUCCUUCCCCCACAAGAUGAUUCUCCAGGCCAUGCAGCCAAGGGCUCUACCUCUCUGAUCUUUGGGAGGUUAGGGAGAGAAGCUGGCCUGUCGGAGACAUCAUGGUUUGAAGGUCGGCUUUGGUUUCUGCAGCUGGAAAUUCCCUGAAGCUCCUGCCCAGCCUGCCACGAGCCCAGAGGCUCCUGUUCUGGCCAAAGAUUCAUAUCCUUGGUGGCUCUCGGCCACUGUGCCACCUUGCUUACAUCUGUCCUGCUCGUAUGUGUCACGGAUUUUCCCCCUUUCUCUCAAAAGACGGGAGAGCCUCAUGACUCUCCAGGUGUGGAGAAAUCUCCAUUACCAGUAGCCCUGCCACCAAAAAAUCCAUUUUUCUUCAGAGAUGCUUGGCCACCAGCCUUCCUUCCAUCCUCAGAUUCCAUCCACACAAGUGUGGACUUGACCCGAGGUCGUCUGAAGGGGCUGCUGGUGACCUGGACCCUAGACCUCACCACCUGCUCUGAGAAGAGUUGACAUGUCACCUCCCACAGACAUUCCUUCCACCGUCCUCCCUGAACCUGGGACAUUUCGCUCUGGAGUAUUUUCAAGGAAGCUUGUUGUGUUUUAAUGAAGUAUUUUUCAGGGUUCAAAUGUUAUUUUUUAUAAAUGCAGCAUUUUAAUGACAGACUCAAUAUGAAAGAUAGGUCUUCCUGGGCUCUAUAUUUAAUUUCACAAGGCAGCAUGCCACAGGAGGGAAAAGCACAGGGCUAAGGCUCUUGGGGACAUGGCUUUGUCUCCAUCUUGCUGUGUGACCAAGGACGAGUCAUGUUCCCUCUCAGUGCCUCAGUUUCCCAUCUGUAGAACGAGGGGCUUUGACUAGGUGAGCUUUGAAGUUUCAUCCAGCUCUUACGUCCUAGGGCCUUCAUUCCCCAUUGGCACCCCCUCCUUUCUUCACGUUCCUCCCCACCUCAAAUGAGCUGCACACAUAACGCCUGCCCCAUGAUCACAUCCUCAGAUGCCUUGGGUGGCCACUAGCCCCCUUGCUAGAGUCUGAGGUGGGCUCCGUGGUCUCGGCCACCCAGAGAUGCUCAUACCUGCAGGGGUAAGGCCCUACCCAUUCAACAGGUUACCAACAGCGUUCACAAAAGCCCUCUCGCAUGGACACAUCUAAAUUAUCCCGGGUGUCUGUGUCACUGAGGCAUUCCGAAUUUGAAGUGUUCAUUGUGAUGUGGUCCUUGAAGCUGGAGGGAGGCGGUUCUGACUUCAGAGAGAGGCCAGGCUGGAGGAGACAGGCCCAGAGGGUGCCCCACAGGGGUGUCAGGUUUGUAUUUGAGGACAGCUUGGAAAUGCAUUUCAAGCCACAGAGGAGAACACACGGCAAAAGGUCCGUGUUGAAAUGGAUGUUCUGACUCCAGAACCCGGGUCCUGAAGACCGAGUCUGGACACUGGGCUCCAUUCCCACUGGAGGAGGGGGAGGUAUCACGCCCUGGGCGGCUAGGAGGUGGGCACUCACCCCAGGCUAGUGCUUUUCCAGCCCCUCCCGGUGACACUACCAUCCUCCUGGUGAAAGCUUGCGAAGCAAGAGCUGAUGGUGGAAGUCUGCAACGUCAAACCCAUCUUGUAAAUCGGCCAACCCAUCAACCUCCCAUCCGUAAGAGAAAUGGCGUCGUAUGUUUCCUUAACACCUUCCCUCCCGAGGGAGGGAAAGAACCACCCCCCCACCUCAACUUUGCUGCCCACUCCUGCUGUGCCCCGGAAUACCACUCCAUGAGAGGACUUGUUCAUUUGCUUCGUAGUGGCAAAUAUUCCUCUAGUUCUGUAACUCAACUAGACAUUUUGUAGUAAAGAAUUCUUGAAAUUCUCUAAUAAAAAGAAAUUCUUACUGUAAUAUUUUUAGUUUGGGGACACAAUUUCCUAAGGUGUGUGGGGGGGGAUUAAUGAACAUUUAUACGCAUUAGCCCAAUUUACGGAUUCCGUGUUUAUUAUAUGGUAGUACUGAUGAAAAGUACCUUUCUAUCUGUACCUUUACACAGUUUCUCCGUUCCUCGUAAGGAAGCUUCACGAUGAGCAGUGCUUAUGCACCUGCUGUUUCUGUACAGAUCUUAGCGUUCACUUACUUGUCAAAGCACAUUCUAUAUGUACUGUAAACAGGUAUCCCUUUAGUAAGAUUUAGUCUUAAGGAUUUUUCCACUUUUGUCAGUAACAGAUAUUUAUGGAUUAAAAGAAAUAAUAAAGCCGUUUCAACAUAA
This 2902-nucleotide long non-coding RNA is filed under the name Lynx pardinus (Iberian lynx). The record is from RNAcentral. Lineage: Eukaryota; Metazoa; Chordata; Mammalia; Carnivora; Felidae.